GGAUGGAUGGCUCAGUGGUUAAGAGCACUGGCUGCUCUUCCAGAGGUCCUGAGUUCAAUUCCCAGCAACCA
This 71-nucleotide transfer RNA is filed under the name Rattus norvegicus (Norway rat). It matches the Rfam family "tRNA". Rfam says of the family: Transfer RNA (tRNA) molecules are approximately 80 nucleotides in length. Their secondary structure includes four short double-helical elements and three loops (D, anti-codon, and T loops). Further hydrogen bonds mediate the characteristic L-shaped molecular structure. tRNAs have two regions of fundamental functional importance: the anti-codon, which is responsible for specific mRNA codon recognition, and the 3' end, to which the tRNAs corresponding amino acid is attached (by aminoacyl-tRNA synthetases). tRNAs cope with the degeneracy of the genetic code in two manners: having more than one tRNA (with a specific anti-codon) for a particular amino acid; and 'wobble' base-pairing, i.e. permitting non-standard base-pairing at the 3rd anti-codon position. Lineage: Eukaryota; Metazoa; Chordata; Mammalia; Rodentia; Muridae. The record is from Rfam by way of RNAcentral.